This 332-nucleotide ribosomal RNA is filed under the name uncultured bacterium. RNAcentral's name for it is "bacterial SSU rRNA". It matches the Rfam family "Bacterial small subunit ribosomal RNA", at positions 30 to 361 of the family's 1533-position model. The record is from RNAcentral.
AUUGAACGCUGGCGGCGUGCUUAACACAUGCAAGUCGAUCGGUAACAGGUGUAGCAAUACAUGCUGACGAGAGGCGGACGGGUGAGUAAUGCUUGGGAAUCUGCCUAUUAGUGGGGGACAACCCGGGGAAACUCGGGCUAAUACCGCAUACGCUCUACGGAGGAAAGCCGGGGACCGCAAGGCCUGGCGCUAAUAGAUGAGCCCAAGUCGGAUUAGCUAGUUGGUAGGGAACGGCCUACCAAGGCGACAAUCCGUAGCUGGUCUGAGAGGACGACCAGCCACACCGGAACUGAGACACGGUCCGGACUCCUACGGGAGGCAGCAGUGGGGAA